AUGUUUGCAGGAUCUCCUCGCCGCCGGCUGUGUACACCAUGUCCGAUUCAACCUUGUUUGCCCAUGUUUACUAUGUGGUGUUCAUCGUGUAAACACGGAUCGUUCAGAGCUGAUAAUGAACUGAUUAUGCCCGCUGCUAGAAUGAGGUCGGCAGCCAAUGACAAAGCUGAGGCUGAGAAGAUACUAAACAUGAAAAGAGCAGAAGGAGGAGAAGGUGAGUCCAGGUACUCGGCUAGUGUGGGCAUUGCAAGGCAGCGUCAGGCUAUCGUGGAUGGUCCGAGAGAUGUGUCCUCACUUUCUUGGAGAACGUCCCUGGUACCACUGCAAAGGACAUCAUGGGCAUGGUUCUGGUCACCCAAUACUUUGACACCAUCAAAGAGAUUGGCGCCGCAUCCAAUUCCUAUUCAGUUUUCAUCCCCCAUGGUCCUGGAGCUGUCAAGGAUGUUGUAUCGUAGAUAA
Molecule: ribosomal RNA, 459 nt
Filed under: Triticum aestivum (bread wheat)
Lineage: Eukaryota; Viridiplantae; Streptophyta; Magnoliopsida; Poales; Poaceae
Description: partial small subunit ribosomal RNA
Source: RNAcentral